CACUUUAAUUCAUCGGGGAAAUCAUAAUCUCAGUUAAACACGGGUUUAUCGAGAGAGUGUUCUUCGUGUUCUUGAGAUUCAAACGAAGAUUUGGAAGCGUUAUCGGACUCGGAUCUUGGCGUUAAAGUACUCAAAUCGAAGGUUUUGACGAGUAGAAUCCAAAUCUAGCAUCAGUUUAAGUGCAGAAACAUCAGGUAGGUUUGGAUUUGAGGAUUUAAAUUCGUAUUAAAUAAGCUUAAAAUAGGGCUUUGUGAUUUCGAAGUUGUUUAGGUGUUUUGAUGAUUGUAUGUUGUAGAUAAUGUUCUCCUGAUCAUUUUGGUAUAUCAUAUGUACGAUUUGGAGUUCAAUAACAUGUUCAAAACUGAGUUUUAGGUUCGAAAUUGAAGAUUAGGGUUUAUAAUUCGUUUGAACAUUUUCAAUUGAAAUUGGGGCUUUGUUAUUCUUUAAUUCUGGAUGUGAUUUGAGGUGUGAAAUAGCUCGGGCUUGUCUAGAGGAGUCGUAUGGUGCUAACAGAUGUUAUGUGGGACUCAGAAAUCGUGCAAAUCGGGGAGAGAGAAACUCGCCGGCGACGGCGAGUUUCCUCGACCGAUUAUGGCUGAUUCCGGCCACUUUUGGACUGUUUGAUGGCGGGUAUGAGUUUGUGUUGGCUUGAAGAAGUGAUCUGGAGAGUUUGGAGCAACAGGGUGACGGAUUUCGCCAUUUCCGGCGUUUGGGCGGCACCGGCUGUAAAACUUACAGUUUAGUCCCCAACAUUUUGGAGAUGGUGAAGUUUAUGCACCGAACUUUGGUUUUUGACAUUUCUUACCCCAAGGUUUUGAAAACUUACAGUUUGCACCCUGCGACAAAGUUUUGAAAACCUUACAAAAUAAACCUUUUCAAAUUAUUUUCGAAAAUUGUUUUAUUUAUUUAUUUUAAAUUGUAGAAAUAGUUUUUAAUUAUUUAUUAAUUCAAAAAUAAAUCUGAUUUAAUUUAUUAAUUAAUUUUAAUUAGUAAUUAAUUAUUAUAAUUAGUCAAUUAAUUUAAAUAUUAAUUGAUUAAUUGUUUUAAUUAAUUAUUAAUUAAUUUUAAUUGAUUUAUUAAUUAGAUUUAAUUAUUUUAAAUGAUUUUAAAAUUCCGAAAAAUAGUUUCGAGCUUUGAAAUAUUAUUCUAAAAUAUGUUUGAAGCUCGUUAAUUGAUUUCAAAUGAUUUCGGACUUGAUUUCGAGUAUCCAAAAUUGAUUAUUUAUUUAUAAAAUGAUUCUUUGACCCGUUUUAAUUCCGAAAAAUAUUCUAAAAUCCAUAUCAAAUGCCAGAAAAAUCCUUUUGACUUCAAACCUUCUUUGAAAAAUAAAUUUUAUUGAAUAUCUUAUUUGAUAUGUGUUAUAUGAUACCUGAUGGGUGUGUUACAUGCCUAUGUGAACCUUAUGUGAUUGUUUUUGACAUAUCUUUUAAACCGUAAGUCGGAUUUAAAUGAAACGAAGGGUAGUUAGGAACUCGUUACGAAGGUGUGAUGAUAAGAAUAGUAUGAGAUCAUAUAUUGAUAGAUGAUUGUUGUGAUUAGCAGAGAAGCGAGACGUAGAAAGGGAAAGCAAGUGGUGAUAGAGUAGUACAGCGAGCAAGCGUAAUUGAAACUUGAGAUCAGCUAUAUAAGGCAAGUGCUCUGAAACUUUUCUUCAAUUAUAUAUUGUAUCUAUUGUGAUUAUUUAGUGAACCUUCUGAUUAAGCUCUGUGACCUAUUGAAUUAUAGUAUGGAUUAUCAUCCUAUUGAUUCUUGAACCUUCCACCAGAUUCCUUAAAUUAUAAUACGGAUUAUUUACUUAUUGAUUCUUGAACCUUUGACCCAAUUCUUUAAUACUUGCUAUGGAACCUACUUCAAUUGUAAUCCUUCAAUCUUUAAAACUUCUAAAUGAUUACCAUAAGAACCAAAUUUCAUUUCAAGAACAUACCCUUGAUACCUCAACCAGUUAUCAAUCACACAUCUUUCAGACCUUAACCAGUGAUCAACCCCAAAUAACAUCUGUUAUGGCUUAUACCUUACAGUUGAUUGAUUCUUUCCAUAAACUCCAGUUUCUUGAUCUCAAACGCAUUCAUUUAUACUUGGAUUCUUUUUGUGAACCUAGAACCCCUUUUCAGAUAAACACUAAACUUUGAUAUGCUUUGCCAUCUUAUGAGGCAAUGUUUGAUUCUUUGCUAAACCAUGAAGUUAUGUAUCAUUCCUCCUUUGAGAUCCAUCUGAGACACUUUGAAUAGUAGUCUGCUUCUGCUUCAAAUUUUAAUUAUGAUGUUGAUGUUUUUAUUUUGUUGAAUAAUAUUGUUGAUCAUCUUGAUUGUGAUAGAAUUGGAUAGUUUUCUAAACUUGGACCAAAUGAAUGGUCAGACCAGAUGAGUGGUCGCUUUAGGCCAAUGUGUGCCUUGGAUCCAGUAAACGAGCAUGGUGGGACCUGCUCGGGGUUAGUGUCUGACUGAUCAGCAGCCUAACCUUUGAUUUUUAAAAAAAUAAAUUUAAUAUCCAAUUCUAAUUGAUAUCCUAACAACAAAUCUUGAUAUUGAGAUUGAUUCCAUUAGACAUUGGUUCCCUUCAGCUUAUGAUUAAUAUUUUAUAUUGAUAUGGUUAUACUUGCUGAGCUUGGUAGCUCACUCUUGCGAUACUUUAUGUUCUUUCCAGUGAAGGCAGAGAAAGUUGGUAGCGAGGACCCUCAGGCUAGUAGUAAGGCCAGGAUUCCAGGCUGAGAGAUGGAGAGAGCUGUCAGCAGCACUUGGCUUUUUAUUUAUGUACUAGUUUGAAUAACGAGACACAAAUGAUGUGUAAGCUUGUAAGAAUUAAGUUUCUAUUUUGGGAUUUGGGUUUGUAAUAAUUAAAGUGAUGUUGUGG
Molecule: long non-coding RNA, 2850 nt
Filed under: Daucus carota (carrot)
Lineage: Eukaryota; Viridiplantae; Streptophyta; Magnoliopsida; Apiales; Apiaceae
Description: long non-coding RNA (DCAR_LNC007731)
Source: RNAcentral